CACGUAGUUGGCCGGUGCUUCUUCUAUAGGUACCGUCACUUGCGCUUCGUCCCUAUUGAAAGAGGUUUACAACCCGAAGGCCGUCAUCCCCCACGCGGCGUCGCUGCAUCAGGCUUGCGCCCAUUGUGCAAUAUUCCCCACUGCUGCCUCCCGUAGGAGUCUGGGCCGUAUCUCAGUCCCAGUGUGGCCGGUCACCCUCUCAGGCCGGCUACCCGUCGUCGCCUUGGUAGGCCAUUACCCCACCAACAAGCUGAUAGGCCGCGGGCCCAUCCCACACCGCAAAACGCUUUCCACCACACACCAUGAAGCGCGUGGUCCUAUUCGGUAUUAGACCCAGUUUCCCAGGCUUAUCCCAAAGUGCAGGGCAGAUCACCCACGUGUUACUCACCCGUUCGCCACUCGAGUACCCCGAAGGGCCUUUCCGUUCGACUUGCAUGUGUUAAGCACGCCGCCAGCGUCGUCCUCGUAGCCACGGAGUCAAACUAC
This 486-nucleotide ribosomal RNA is filed under the name uncultured Mycobacterium sp. RNAcentral describes it as "partial 16S ribosomal RNA". The record is from RNAcentral. Lineage: Bacteria; Bacillati; Actinomycetota; Actinomycetes; Mycobacteriales; Mycobacteriaceae.